This is a non-coding RNA of Equus caballus (horse), 5119 nucleotides long. NCBI's taxonomy places the organism in Eukaryota, Metazoa, Chordata, Mammalia, Perissodactyla, Equidae. The record is from RefSeq and is a predicted model, not a curated record.
UUUGCUUUUCUCACCAAAUAUGAUAAAAUUCCAAAAAUUUAGAUCUAGGAAGAAAUUCCGUCUAGUGAUCUUAACCCAAGCCAUUUAGUCACCAAAACAGAGUUUCUGUGACUCCUUGUUUGCUUUCUAGUUCCACUAUGUGUGGAAAAUCAAUACAAAGCUAGGGAAAGCCAAGAGAGCAUAUCCUCUAUGUAGUUGCAUGUUAAAAAUGGAGCAGUUUUAAAAGUAGAUAUUACAUGUGUGGGAAAGUAUGAUGAGGCCACACUGGAAAUGAAGGCUGUUACUAUUCAGAGAUUUGGGAGAAAAGUCAAAGACAAAAGAGACAAGGUAAAGUGGCCGUUAACUAUAGGUUAAGGGUCAGUAUAUUUAUAGGAAGGUUAAAUAGUUGCAGUUUUGUAUGAGAUUAAAAACUUGUUUUUGCUCUGGUUCUGAUCAACGUUAGCCUAUAAAUAGGAAGUUUCUACUGUUAUUUUAGAUCAAUUUGUCUUCCCAAAUAUGUUGCCUCAUCAUAUAACUAUUUAAAAUGCUUCACUGAAAAUUAAUGCAAUAAAAGUGAAAAAGCAAAAUCCAUUUAGCAGUCCACUAAAAAAGAAAGAUUGGGUAUGACCUUUCUUCUUCUGGAUAUUGUCCCCAAGGAAGCAAACUAGAAAUUGUACAGAAAUCUACAUGUGGUACUUGCAUAUAAUCUACAUGCUAUAUCACGUAAAAUAAUUUUCCUCUCAUACAUUUUUGGGUGAUUCAUUCAUACAGUAAACUUUUAUUAAAUAUGUUAUUUAAGAGAGAUACUAUUUUAGGCAUACAUGGUCUUAAUAAACAUGGUAGACGACCACAGUUUAACAGAAAUUGUAGCCAACAGAAAAAAUUGAUUAAAGCAGAGAAUCACCAAAAAAAUGAUGCACACAUACCUUAAAUACUUUGUUCUAACUCAAAACAUAUAAAUGUAUAUUCAUUUGCCAAUCUUUUGAUGUUGGGCCAGAUUUUUUUUUUUAGUUUGAAUCCAUCCUUUUUCUGUCCAGCAUGAACCAAAUACAAAAUGUAUCAUUUAAGAUUUCCAUUUGUGCUCUUUAAAGUGAAAAUGUAAAUAUAUUUGAGAAGCAGCAUAAGUACAUAUCUUUCCUAGAUGUUUGCAACAUCUUCCAAUAUUUUACAGUUGUCUUGGUUACAACUAAUUUGGCAGCAUUUUUUUAGUAUCUAUCUUUAUUGACUCUUUCAAAGCAACGCUUUUCUUGUUUGUUUCACGUUCAUAUUCUAAUUUCUUUAAUCAAUAAUUAAAUGCUUCAAUUCCAAAAGAAAAUAUACCUGAUAAAAGUUGAUCUUCAAAGAGACUGUUAAAAUUGUCCUUAGACUUGUAGGGUGGCAUUAGAACAGAAAGAAGAUUCUUUCUUGUGUUUACAAAGCCUUUGUGUAGACAGCAAAUGUAUCUCACAUUUCAUGUUUCCUCCUUCUGUAACUAUAAAAUUUCUGGUACACUGAAGAGUAGUUAUUUUGUAAAUAGUUGUUGACUGAAUGAGGGUGCACAAUUAAUUAUCCAAUCUUUACAGUACAUGCAAACCAUACAUGCAUGAAACAGUGUGUCUACUACUAAUUCUUUUAGCAAGCAACAUGACAUACUGAAAAGAGCGUGGAUAUUGUUGUUAAACAGACCAAAAUGCAGAUGCCAGCAUAUGUGGCUUCUGGUGAGUUAUUUAACCUAAAUCUUAACCUCUCAUCUGUAUAAGAGAGCUAAUAACACCAACCUCAGGAGUCAUUAUGAAGAUGAAAUAAGAUAAUAUACUGAAAGGGGUCACAGGUGGGUUCUCCAAGAAGCAGACUCUGAGAAGGAGUUGGAAUGUAGAAUGUUUAUUAGAGAGUGCUCUUAGAAUCAGCACCCAUGGCAGGGUAGGGAAGGAAGCAGGACUGGGCAGAUGGAACAUUGAGCUUUGACCCAGGCCUGACAACAGUUUCAGCUGACUCCUCAGAGAGUUUUAGAGCUAAAACAGGCCAUCAGAUUUCCCCAGGGUGCUGCAUCCCAGAUUCAGAAAGAAAAUUCAUCUGGACACUGUGAGAUUUCUGGAAUUCCCAAUUUUGCAGCAGGAAUCACGGUGAUGUCUGCAGAGCAUCUUUGUUCCUAUCUGGUCCAUGUGAAGUAAUGGGAGAAGAAUGUCCUGGCAGUAGCAACAGCAGAGGCUGGACGCAAGCUUUGUUCUGUUACCCUCAUCUCUUCUCAGCUGCUUUCAGACUUCAAAAAUGAACUUUCUGGUUUCAACAUUCACACCAUCUUAUAGUCAUUAUGGCAGAAUGAUAUCUGGACUCUGCCUAGGCACUGUAUUGACACCUUGGCUAUGCAUUAGGUUACAAAGCCAAAACCAAAGCUAAGGGGCGUUCAACAUAAUUGCUCCAAAUGACAGAAAUACCCAGGCAUAAUUCUUUGAUGGGCCUUUCUAUUGCAAAGAUAUGUAGAGAGAAUCUGGUUAUCUACAGCAACUAUCAGAUAAUUCUGUCAUGUUCAUUUCAUACUUUGGGAGGUAGAAGAGUGAGGAUGAGAGAUAUAAAAUGAAUGCACUGGCCAUGCAUAUAAGUCAGCCAUAUCACCUAGAAUGAAAAAAUUGUCAAGUGGUCUCCAAAUAAGGAGUAAAACCAAGUCUCAUGUUUGAUUCAUGUGUCUAUGGAAAACGUAUUUAUUUCAUUUCUAGGGACUACGUAGGCCAUGAAAGCUGGUAAUGUGUCAAUAGUCAGGCUUCUAGCCUUCAGACUCACAUUUGGGGACAAAGAAAAAGAAUUCUUGGGAUCUCAAUAGCAAGGUCUAGUGGAAGAAUUGUAUGUGUUCCUCCUAAAACUCUCCCAGCUAGGCUAAUGGGAAUACAGAAUAGCAUAUAAUACGUAUUUCUGCACAAGUUUUCCAUGAACAGAAAAGGGGCCAUAAUGGAGAGUGUAUACAGGAAAUCAAGAGAUGAUCAGAAAAUUAUAAUAAAACACAGUCUAUCUUAGCAAAAACGGUAACCUGGUCAAAACCACAUCCUGGUAAAAUAUUUUGCCAGCAUCCUCUGGGUAUUGAGUACCUUUUUUGCUUUUGCUUUCUCAUUAGAAAUGCAAACAUUAUGUGUGGUUUAUUUUUUCCCUCAAGAAUUUCCUCAGUGGCCUUUUCCCACUAGUUUUGAUGUCCUCAUGAAAUUAAGAGAAAACAACUGUGGGAAAGGAAUAAGUGUGUAUAGCAACCAGCAACCCAUAAGCGCAUAAUCAACCCAUGCCUUGGUCUCUAAGGCUUAAAUACCAUCACGAAAGGUGCAUAGAAAACAUCGGGCACUGGAGUCCAUGAACACUUGGUCUGUACAAUGUUUGCUUUUCACAGAAACCUGUCUCUAUAAUUUCCCUAGCUCAGGCUCUGCUAUAAUUACUUCCUCCACAGCUCGUACACUACCAUGCAUGCCUCAAUAUUACUGUAAGGACCUCUCCUGGGCAAGGGUCGUGUCUUUUAAAUUCUUCCUACUGCCACAGGUCAGAGUUUGGUACAGUGCACACAAAGGCACUCAAGGAGUACUCAUUUUUUAAAAUGCAUGAAACUCUCAUAACUUUCUGAGGCAGGAACUCGAAAGGAAGGUUAAAUUUUUCUUUGGACAGACACAGAGGGUUCAGUAUGGUGAAGCAAUAAAAGUGCUGUGGGCCAGUGAGCAGUACAGCCAGCCCAUAGAAUUUAACUAUACGUACAUGCACGAGGCAUGCUGGGAGGAAAUUCUUGGCCUGAGCUACCUGAGGCCCUGGACCCUCCUGCCAGCCAUUGAGAGGGGAGAGGUGGCCUUGGCUUUUAUGUCUGUUGGCUUUGACCUAGUCAGGGAAGAUGCCAAAGUCAGGUCUGGAUUGCUGAUCAUUUCCUUGGACCCCCAGAACCACAGGGCAAGCUUCCUCUCAUACUCAUCAUAUUCAUUUGUCAACAGCCCUGAAAAUAUGAAUAAAGAAAGGAGAGACGGAGAAAGAAGGAAAAGGAGAGGGAGAGAAGCGUAGGAAAGAGAGAGAGAAAGGAAUAGCCCCCAUCCCCCCAGACACACACACACAACAUAGCCCAGAUCUACCAAUUUGGUUUAGGAGAUUUAGUUAAAGCUGCACUAUCUUCAUUAAUGCCAUCAAGAAAUUUCAACUUUAGGCAGCCUUUAUCUUCAUGGCUUUUUCCUUAACUACAAUACCCUGCUACUAUUUUAUUUUCCAUGCCAAUUCUGCCUGACUUAUUUAGCUGUCAGGAAAAUGCUGUGUUACAGUACCACAGAAGACACUAAACUUGAUAGAAAGUCCUCUAACAUUUUAGUCCUGAAUUUUUACUAUUAAGCUUUCUUAUUCAAUCCCAAAAGAAACAGUGAGUAGGGUAACAAUGUUUAAUUUAACUACUUCUUUGAAUUUUGAAAAUGAUUUCAAAUUAGCCCCUGCUUAUAUUUGGGGAAAAUGUUAAGUAAAGUUCUCAAGUAACUUCACUUGACAGCAAAUUUUCAAAAUAAGUGAUGACCAUAGAGCCAUGACCAACUUCAGAUAGAUGUGUGUAAGUUCUUCCCAGAAGGUUGACUACCCCUGGCAUUGCUAAAUCAGGAGGGGACAGCCCACAAGUCUCCCUUUGGCAACAAGCACCCACACGUAGUCAGAAGUACAUAAAAGGAAAAAGUGAAAACAUCCUCUGUUUUGCCAAAAGCUUGUCUCAGUGUCUCCUCUGUUCUGGCACCACUUAUCUUCCAGAGCCUGGACCCCACCUAUUUUGAUAACUCAGUGAUGAAAAAUUCUAGCUACUGAUGCUUAUCCUCUGGACUUGACCUUUUCUCCUUCUAACCUCUGACAUCCAGUACUACCCUACUAUGAAUUCAAACUCCUUCCCUUAGUCUGUCUAAAACCAAAUAAGCCCCUCCUGCCAAUUCAUACUUUUUGUCUUGCUCAUCAUAAUCAUUCCUGUCCUACUGCUUCCCAGAGGGAUAGUUGGGCAUGAGUUUGCAUGCUACAAGGACUAGCACUCCCCAAACAGAAGACAUCACAUACUUCUCAGAACCAAUCACACACAAAUUAUCUAAAGAGUCCAUUCAAAUACACACCCCAAUAUUAAAGAAAAUGUGGGGUCGCUGUUAAGAUUUCUCCAGAGAGGAACUUGUGGUGAAAACCUUAAAAGGUG